UUUUCCUACGGGAGGCAGCAGUGAGGAAUAUUGGUCAAUGGGCGGAAGCCUGAACCAGCCAAGUCGCGUGAGGGAAGAAGGCCCUGCGGGUCGCAGACCUCUUUGGACGGGGAGCAAGGCCGCCGACGUGUCGGCGGAAGGAGAGUACCCGUAGAAAAAGCAUCGGCUAACUCCGUGCCAGCAGCCGCGGUAAUACGGAGGAUGCGAGCGUUAUCCGGAUUUAUUGGGUUUAAAGGGUGCGUAGGCGGAACAUUAAGUCAGCGGUAAAAUCGAGGGGCUCAACCCCUUUAAGCCGUUGAAACUGG
RNAcentral lists this ribosomal RNA (305 nucleotides) under uncultured bacterium. RNAcentral's name for it is "bacterial SSU rRNA". It matches the Rfam family "Bacterial small subunit ribosomal RNA", at positions 334 to 636 of the family's 1533-position model. The record is from RNAcentral.